AUAAUAUUAGAAAAAUAUUUAGUAGACUGUUACUCAAAAUAGUCAAAGAUUAAUACAUGCCCGAUAAGAGUAUAGCAAAAUAUUAAAUAAUAAAUACUUGUAAUUUAAUUAAGAAAAAGAUUUGUUAUGGGUGGAAACAAAAGCAUCCCCAUAAUAAAUUGACCCACAUGCCAUAGAAAAACUAUACAUAGUGGCCAAUCCUAAAAAAUACCAUGAAAUUUAUAUGGAAAAAAUCAUGAACCGCGGCUUACACAAGAAAGAAUGUAGCUAUAUUCUUUCUAUUUUAGAUAUUAUAAUCAAAAUUAAUAUCAUGAAUAAAAUAAAUUCUACCAAUUAUAUUCAAUGUCAAGGUAUAUAUAGCUUGAAAUAUGGAAAACUUAAGCCUGGGGUGUACAAGCCCAAAUAUGCCCGGGCCCAGACCAACAAACAAGCCCAAACAUUUAACCCUAGCCCAAUCACUAAAUUGCCCAAUACUUAAAUAAAAGCAGAAAACCCUAGUAGCAGCAAGUAGCCGCCGCCCUCAAACACCCCAGCAGUCUCCAGUCGCCGCAAGUUUCGGCCUCCACGCGUGCCGUUUCCACCACGUUCGCUUGCAAAACGGACUAAAAGAGUCCGAAGAAAAAAAACAGCAAAAUAGCAACUAUAUUUGAUCUAUUUUUUCUUCUUUUUCAAGCUAUAUAUAAAGCCAUUUCAUUUUUGUAAAAAAAGAAGAGAUUCUGUAACUUCCAUUGAAAUAAUACGAAAAACAGUGAUUGAAAGUAAGGAGCAAGUUUCCUUUCAUUUUUCCCCAUUCUUUUGCUUUAGUUUUUUUUUAUUAUUAUUCAAAAAAGCAUAAAAAGGAGAAAGAGUAACGUACCUUGCUCUCAGAUCUGCUAAAAAAGGGGGUUAAAAACCCAUUCCGGCGAGCCUCCGGCCACUGGUUGCGGCGAAACCGUGGCGAACGGAUGGCGGCGGCUUGGGGUAUGAAACCCUAGCAGACAAGGGAGUGGAUUUAAGUUUUUGUUUUUUUGUUAACUUUAAAUGAUAUUUUUGCAAAAAAGAGGGUUUAAAUAGAAACACCGAAACGGUGUCGUUUUUACUAAAGCAGACCCGCGCGGUGACCCGACCCGAUGGGAAGGAUCCGCGCGUUCUUGCUUUUGAUGGUACAAUUGUGCAUUUAGUCCCCUUUUUUGCGUUGUGUUUCAAUUAAAUCCUUUUGUCUCUUUUUUAAAUUGAGCCGCAUAUUUUUAUUUUGUUUUUCAAUUUAGCCCAUUGCUGCGCACUGUUUAGAGGGAAAUGGAUUAUUUCCAUUUUAGGCCCCUCAUAUAAUGCGUACAUCGCAAUUCGGCCCCCCGUUUCGUUUUAAUUACAUUUCUUCUUUGCAAUUCAAUUGUGUUUUUGUUCUAGAAAAAGAAAAUUGAUGCUUACUGUCAUUAUUCUCAUUAUUGUUUAUUACUAUUUGUAUUAUUUUAUUAGUUUUAUAUUUAUAUGCAUGCGACGUCUUUAUAUAAUAUGUAUAUAUUGUCUUAUAUUACUUAUGCAUAUAUCAUACAUAGGUUUUAUUUUAUUUCCUAACUUUUAUAUACAUAUAUAAAUAUUUUCAUAUUUUAGUUUU
RNAcentral lists this long non-coding RNA (1594 nucleotides) under Gossypium barbadense (sea-island cotton). Its description in RNAcentral is "long non-coding RNA (GBAR_LNC017588)". Lineage: Eukaryota; Viridiplantae; Streptophyta; Magnoliopsida; Malvales; Malvaceae. The record is from RNAcentral.